RNAcentral lists this ribosomal RNA (253 nucleotides) under uncultured bacterium. Its description in RNAcentral is "partial 16S ribosomal RNA". It matches the Rfam family "Bacterial small subunit ribosomal RNA", at positions 524 to 776 of the family's 1533-position model. The record is from RNAcentral.
UACGAGAGGCCCAAGCGUUAUUCGGAUUUACUGGGCUUAAAGAGUUCGUAGGCGGCGCAGAAAGUAGGGUGUGAAAGCCCUCGGCUCAACCGAGGAAUUGCGCCCUAAACUACUGUGCUCGAGGGACCUAGAGGUGAGCAGAACUGAUGGUGGAGCGGUGAAAUGCGUUGAUAUCAUCAGGAAUACCGGAGGCGAAGGCGGCUCACUGGGGGUCUUCUGACGCUGAGGAACGAAAGCCAGGGGAGCGAACGGG